GUGGGGAAUAUUGGACAAUGGGGGCAACCCUGAUCCAGCCAUGCCGCGUGAAUGAUGAAGGCCUUCGGGUUGUAAAGUUCUUUUGGAGGGGACGAUGAUGACGGUACCCUCAGAAUAAGCUCCGGCUAACUUCGUGCCAGCAGCCGCGGUAAUACGAAGGGAGCUAGCGUUGUUCGGAAUUACUGGGCGUAAAGGGCGCGUAGGCGGUUUGGUUAGUCAGAUGUGAAAGCCCAGGGCUUAACCCUGGAACUGCGUUUGAUACUGCCAAGCUUGAAUUCGGGAGAGGUGAGUGGAAUUCCCAGUGUAGAGGUGAAAUGCGUAGAUAUUGGGAAGAACACCGGUGGCGAAGGCGACUUGCUGGGCAGCAACUGACGCUGAGGCGCGAAAGCCAGGGGAGCAAACGGGAUUAGAUACCCUGGUAGUCC
Molecule: ribosomal RNA, 425 nt
Filed under: uncultured bacterium
Lineage: Bacteria
Description: partial 16S ribosomal RNA
Rfam family: Bacterial small subunit ribosomal RNA
Source: RNAcentral